UUUGUCACACAAAGACAACAGGUGUAGACUUUACCGUGAAAUACUUACUUACGAGCCCUUUCCCAGCAAUGCAGAAUUAAAAAGUAAGAAAAGAUUAGCAAAAAAAAAAUGAACUAGUAACACAAUAAAAUAACAAUAAUAGCUUGUGUACAUUAGUACUCUGUGCCGCUUGCCACUCCGGCCGCCCAGAGUGGCUCACUUGUGGGUGUGCUGGCAGCAUAUAGCAGCACGUUCGACUGUGCGUCAAGAAUUCAGCAUAGCAAGUUUGUAUGAAGGUCUGGUUGGUAAAUAGUUUAAUCCAUUCUUUAUUUCAUGAAUUUAUUCACAGGUAAAUAGUAAUAUGCUCUAAACCUGUAACGGUUCUCGUCUGUCGAAGGAGAAGCGGACCAAAAUGCAGCGUGGUGGUUAUUCAUGUUCUUUAAUAAAAUUAACUAGACAUGAAAUAACUAAACAAAACAAUAAAUGUGUGAAAACCUAUACAGCCUAUCUGGUGACUUUAAACACAGAGACAGGAACAAUCACCCACGAAAUACUCAAAGAAUAUGGCUGCCUAAUUAUGGUUCCCAAUCAGAGACAACGAUAAACACCUGCCUCUGAUUGAGAACCACUCCAGACAGCCAUAGACUAUGCUAGAUACCCCCACUAAGCCACACACCCAACACAAUAAACCCAUGUCACACCCCGGCCUGACCAAAUAAAUAAAGACAAACACAAUAUACUACGGCCAGGGCGUGACAAAACCGCUCUGGUGACAAACAAACUUUGCUGUCCUGUUUCCAAUCGUUCACAUGGCUGGGAGAGCCUAUUCAAGUAAGUAAAUACAGUAAAAAAAUGUGCUUUUUAAACAAUGUAUUAUUAGCUAACUAGCUAUAGUGCAGGCUAACUCAAAUUAACUGCUAACGUAGCAGUUAGCUAUCUAGCCAACUUUACAUACUGUGUAGCUAAGUUAAUUAAAUAUCACCAGCUACCUAACUUAAUUUUAGCUAGGUGUCUUGAUGCAUUUAUCAUUGUAAAAACAAACUCCAAAUGCAUUUGUAGGUAGCUAGGUAACAGCCAUUGAGAAGGGUGAAAGGACAGCAGCCCCAAUUGUCAAAGUGAGAGAGUAGGCUAUUCUGGAUAGGCAGGUACUUUUGUGUCGUUCCAGUCCCUAGAAGUGAGAACAGAGAUAUAGUAACAUAAUAUUCAGUGCUGUCUAAUUUGAGUAAAAUGAAGUAUGUUUAUUGCAAUGUUUUAUGCCCUCAUAUACAGAGAGCUUUGAAAGCCUGUCUGCAGAUGAAGAGGUCCCAAUGAAGAGCAGUGGUUCUCAGUCCUGGUCCUGGGGACUCAGAGGGGUGCACAUUUGAGUUUUUAGCUUAGCACUACAGAGCGGAUUCAAAUGAUCAACUCAUCAUCAAGCUUCAAGUGGUAUUUAUGUACAGUUGAAGUCGGAAGUUUGCAUAUACUUAGGUUGGAGUCAUUAAAACUCGUUUUUCAACCACCACAAAUUUCUUGUUAACAAACUAUAGUUUUGGCAAGUCGGUUAGGACACAUACUUUGUGCAUGACACAAGUCAUUUUUCCAACAAUUGUUUACAGACAGAUAAUUUCACUUGUAAUUCACUGUAUCACAAUUCCAGUGGGUCAGAAGUUUACAUAAACUAAAUUUCCAAGCUGCCUUUAAACAGCUUGGAAAAUUCCAUAAAAUUAUGUCAUGGCUUUAGAAGCUUCUGAUAGGCUAAUUGACAUCAUUUGAGUCAAUUGGAGGUGCACCUGUACAUGUAUUUCAAGGCCUACCUUCACACUCAGUGCCUCUUUGCUUGACAUCAUGGGAAAAUCUAAAAAAAUCAGCCAAGACCUCAGAUAAAAAAUUGUAGACCUCCACAAGUCUGGUUCAUCCUUGGGAACAGUUUCCAAACACCUGAAGGUACCACAUUCAUCUGUACAAACAAUAGUACGCAAGUAUAAACACCAUGGGACCACGCAGCCGUCAUACCGCUUAGGAAAGAGACACGCUCUGUCUCCUAGAGAUGAAUGUACUUUGGUGCAAAAAGUGCAAAUCAAUCCCAGAACAACAGCAAAGGACCUUGUGUAGAUGCUGGAGGAAACAGGUACAAAAGUAUAUAUAUACACAGUAAAACGAGUCCUGUAUCAACAUAACCUGAAAGGCCGCUCAGCAAGGAAGUAAGAAGUCACUGUUUCUAAAACCACCAUAAAGCCAGACUACGGUUUACAACUGCACAUGGGGACAAAGAUCAUACUUUUUGGAGUCCUCUGGUCUGAUGAAACAGAAGUAGAACUGUUUAGCCAUAAUGGCCAUCGUUAUGUUUUCAGGGAAAAGGGGGAGGCUUGCAAGCCGGAGAACACCAUCCCAACCGUGAAGCACGGGGGUGGCAGCAUCAUGUUGUGGGAGUGCUUUGCUGCAGGAAGGGACUGGUGCACAUCACAAAAUAGAUGGCAUCACGAGGCAAGAAAAGUAUGUGGAUAUAUUGAAGCAACAUCUCAAGACAUCAGUCAGGAAGUUAAAGCUUAGUCACAAAUGGGUCUUCUAAAUGGACAAUGACCCCAAGCAUACUUCCAAAGUUGUGGCAAAAUGGCUUAAGGACAACAAAGUUAAGGUAUUGGAUUGGCCAACACAAAGCCCUGACCUCAAUCCCAUAGAAAAUUUGUGGGCAGAACUGAGAAAGCGUGAAUGAGCAAGGAGGCCUACAAACCCGACUCCGUUACACCAGCUCUGUCAGGAGGAAUGAGACAAAAUUCUCCCAACUUAUUAUGGGAUGCUUGUGGAAGGCUACCCAAAAUGUUUGACCCAAGUUAAAUAAUUUAAAGGCAAUGCUACCAAAUACUAAUUGAGUGUAUGUAAACUUCUGACCCACUGGGAAUGUGACUGAAAUAAAUCUUUCUCUCUACUUUUAUUCUGACAUUUCACAUUCUUAAAAUAAAGUGGUGAUCCUAACUGACCUAAGACAGGGAAUUUUUACUAUGAUUAAAUGUCAGCAAUUGUGAAAAACGGAGUUUAAAUGUAUUUGGCUCAGGUGUAUGUAAACUUCCGACUUCAACUGUAUUAUUAUUUCUGAUGCUAACCUUGAUAUGAUCCUGCUAUUGUUUGCUACACAUGCCCAUGUGUGUGCACAUGCAUCUGUCUAUCCAAUGUUAUCAUGGUUUCUUAUAAGAUAUAUUAUACUUUAGAAAUCCACAAUGACCUGGGGAUGUCAAAGUCUAAUAUUGACUAUCUUCCAUAUUCCUACAGAUACCUUGCACCUGGAGAUUCCUUCAAAACAAUUUGGUUACCAGGGCCUACCUGUGUCCUGCAGAACUUCAUGAGGAUGUAGAUGAGGACCAGGAGGGGAUCUGCAUGAUUUUUCAAGGAUGGGCGCUAACAGCACAGGAGUCAAUCCGUGUGCGGGAGAUCUUCACUUCCUACUUCUUCGAAGAGGGUGCUGUUCCUUGGCAACACCAAAGACUCGACGAUGCACAACCAAAGGCUCUUAAGAGCCAUCCACAUUGCAAUAAGUGUAUUCUUCCAUUUACUUCGCUAUGUCAACUGCAUUUAUUCAAUUCACAGUUUAGGUGAGGGUAAUGUCUGUACAAAAACAGAACAGGCUCCUUUAAGAGUCACCCAUAUUGAAAUAGAAGAACAAUUAGACACCCUAUAACCCACAGCUACACACUCGUGUAUCAAUCGGAUUGAUGGAUUGUGUUGUGCAGUAAGCAGGCUCAGGUGUAUAACUGUGGCUCCUUCAACCUUCAAAGAACAGGCAAGAGGGCCAACCAUGGAGAAUAUUAAGACAUGGUCAUUAUUUCUAUUUAUGUAGAAAAUAAUGUAGAAAACGAUAUAUUGUUUGUCAUCGUGUGUCUGUAUGUUUUUCAGUAUAAAGUACUUUUCAGCCACUUAGUGUGGACAACGGGUGAGACGACACACAGAUUCCUGUUGAACACUGUCUCUUCAACUACUUUAUUUUCUCAAUAACUGUCUCUCUCCUUCACUUCCUCCCUCUUCCCCCCUUCUGCCUAAAUCCUCUAGGUUAUAUCAGCUGUGUCGGUGUACCCCUACCGCAUCUGAACUGGCUACAUAGAGGGCACAGUAUGAUCAGAGGUAUGUCUUGAUGUGAGAGAGGAUGCCAACCCCCAGUCCCAUCAUCGCCACCUCACCCGCUCGGGCCAACUGGGGAGACACCACGAGAGACACUAUUAUACAAUUGUGAUGAACUGAGAGAAUAUUACAUUUAGUCACACUGUAAUUCAUGAAUCAUAUGCUGUCAUCCCUGCUCCUCUUUUCCUUUCUGUCUUCUACACUUUUUCUCACAGCUCUCUCCUCAUCUCCUCUUUAUCCCUCUGUUUUUAUCAUGCACACCAGAUGUGCAUUGAACAACAGAUUGAACUUCUAUUUAUAAUAUAAGAUUACAAUUAUAAUAUUUAUAAUGCAUGUAUUAUGUAUUUAUAACACUUGGAUAACUUCUUUCAAUAAAGCCUUUCACAUUCUA
Molecule: long non-coding RNA, 4459 nt
Organism: Oncorhynchus masou masou (cherry salmon)
Lineage: Eukaryota; Metazoa; Chordata; Actinopteri; Salmoniformes; Salmonidae
Exons: 2
Source: RefSeq, a predicted model, not a curated record